CGCCGCGUGAACGAUGAAGCCCUUCGGGGUGUAAAGUUCUUUCGGCAGGAACGAUAAUGACGGUACCUGAAGAAGAAGCUGCGGCUAACUACGUGC
RNAcentral lists this ribosomal RNA (96 nucleotides) under uncultured bacterium. RNAcentral describes it as "partial 16S ribosomal RNA". It matches the Rfam family "Bacterial small subunit ribosomal RNA", at positions 395 to 508 of the family's 1533-position model. The record is from RNAcentral.